UGCAAGUCGAACGAAGUAGCAAUACUUAGUGGCAGACGGGUGAGUAACAUGUAGGUAUCUACCCUUUGGCCUGGAAUAACACGAGGAAACUUGUGCUAAUACCAGAUAAGUCUUUACGGAGAAAGCUUUAUGCACCAUUGGAUGAGCCUGCACUUGAUUAGUUUGUUGGUGGGGUAAUGGCCUACCAAGGCUUUGAUCAAUAGCUGAUUUGAGAGGAUGAUCAGCCACAUUGGGACUGAGACACGGCCCAAACUCCUACGGGAGGCAGCAGUGGGGAAUCUUGCACAAUGGAGGAAACUCUGAUGCAGCGAUGCCGCGUGAGUGAAGAAGGCCUUUGGGUUGUAAAGCUCUUUCGUCGGGGAAGAAAAUGACUGUACCCGAAUAAGAAGGUCCGGCUAACUUCGUGCCAGCAGCCGCGGUAAUACGAAGGGACCUAGCGUAGUUCGGAAUUACUGGGCUUAAAGAGUUCGUAGGUGGUUGAAAAAGUUGGUGGUGAAAUCCCAGAGCUUAACUCUGGAACUGCCAUCAAAACUUUUCAGCUAGAGUUUGAUAGAGAAAAGCAGAAUUUCUAGUGUAGAGGUGAAAUUCGUAGAUAUUAGAAAGAAUACCAAUUGCGAAGGCAGCUUUCUGGAUCAUUACUGACGCUGAGGAACGAAAGCAUGGGUAGCGAAGAGGAUUAGAUACCCUCGUAGUCCAUGCCGUAAAC
This 706-nucleotide ribosomal RNA is filed under the name uncultured marine bacterium. Its description in RNAcentral is "bacterial SSU rRNA". It matches the Rfam family "Bacterial small subunit ribosomal RNA", at positions 56 to 807 of the family's 1533-position model. The record is from RNAcentral.